Molecule: ribosomal RNA, 500 nt
Filed under: uncultured bacterium
Lineage: Bacteria
Description: partial 16S ribosomal RNA
Rfam family: Bacterial small subunit ribosomal RNA
Source: RNAcentral
AUUGAACGCUGGCGGCAUGCCUUACACAUGCAAGUCGAACGGCAGCACGGGAGCAAUCCUGGUGGCGAGUGGCGAACGGGUGAGUAAAGUAUCGGAACGUGCCCAGUCGUGGGGGAUAACGUAGCGAAAGUUACGCUAAUACCGCAUACGAUCUAUGGAUGAAAGCGGGGGAUCGCAAGACCUCGCGCGAUUGGAGCGGCCGAUAUCAGAUUAGGUAGUUGGUGGGGUAAAGGCUCACCAAGCCGACGAUCUGUGGCUGGUCCGAGAGGACGACCAGCCACACGGGGACUGAGACACGGCCCAGACUCCUACGGGAGGCAGCAGUGGGGAAUUUUGGACAAUGGGCGCAAGCCUGAUCCAGCCAUGCCGCGUGCAGGAUGAAGGCCUUCGGGUUGUAAACUGCUUUUGUACGGAACGAAAAGGUUUGGCCUAAUAAGCUGAGCUCAUGACGGUACCGUAAGAAUAAGCACCGGCUAACUACGUGCCAGCCGCCGCAGUAA